UAAGGAAUAUUGGUCAAUGGAGGCAACUCUGAACCAGCCAUGCCGCGUGCAGGAUGAAGGCGCUAUGCGUCGUAAACUGCUUUUGUACGGGAGAAAAUCAUGGUACGUGUACCGUGUUGAUAGUACCGUAAGAAUAAGGAUCGGCUAACUUCGUGCCAGCAGCCGCGGUAAGACGAAGGAUCCAAGCGUUAUCCGGAUUCAUUGGGUUUAAAGGGUGCGUAGGCGGGUUUGUAAGUCAGUGGUGAAAGCCGGCAGCUCAACUGUCGAAUUGCCAUUGAUACUGCAGACCUAGAAUAUAGAUGAUGUUGGCGGAAUAUGACAUGUAGCGGUGAAAUGCAUAGAUAUGUCAUAGAACACCGAUUGCGAAGGCAGCUGACAAAACUAUAAUUGACGCUGAUGCACGAAAGUGCGGGGAUCAAACAGG
Molecule: ribosomal RNA, 424 nt
Filed under: uncultured bacterium
Lineage: Bacteria
Description: bacterial SSU rRNA
Rfam family: Bacterial small subunit ribosomal RNA
Source: RNAcentral